This is a long non-coding RNA of Conger conger (European conger), 266 nucleotides long. RefSeq lists it as uncharacterized. The transcript is spliced from 3 exons. NCBI's taxonomy places the organism in Eukaryota, Metazoa, Chordata, Actinopteri, Anguilliformes, Congridae. The record is from RefSeq and is a predicted model, not a curated record.
AGUCUCCGUCUAUGUUGGUCCCACUCGCUGUUUCCUUUGGGGUUCUCCUCCUGCUCUGCUGUGUGGCUGCUCUUAUCGUGUGCAAGAUCAAACGUAACAUAAGACCAGCUGUGGCAGACAAAGGGGAAAAGCCCCCAGCAGCCAAUGAACCGACGUUACUGCCCCCAGCAGCCAAUGAACCGACCUACGAAGAAGUGACCAAUGACAGACCAAUGAGCGACGCCAGUGCGCUGGAGCCGAGUGUCUGUUUGUACUCAGUAGUGGAU